This 794-nucleotide ribosomal RNA is filed under the name uncultured bacterium. RNAcentral describes it as "bacterial SSU rRNA". It matches the Rfam family "Bacterial small subunit ribosomal RNA", at positions 9 to 795 of the family's 1533-position model. The record is from RNAcentral.
GAGUUUGAUCCUGGCUCAGGAUGAACGCUAGCGGCAGGCUUAAUACAUGCAAGUCGAGGGGCAGCGGGGGUAGCAAUACCUGCCGGCGACCGGCAAACGGGUGCGGAAUACGUACACAACCUUCCUUUAAGUGGGGGAUAGCCCAGAGAAAUUUGGAUUAAUACCCCGUAAUAUUAUUGAGUGGCAUCAUUUAAUAAUUAAAGCUCCGGCGCUUAGAGAUGGGUGUGCGGCUGAUUAGGUAGUUGGUGAGGGUAACGGCCCACCAAGCCAACGAUCAGUAACUGGUGUGAGAGCACGACCAGUCACACGGGCACUGAGACACGGGCCCGACUCCUACGGGAGGCAGCAGUAAGGAAUAUUGGUCAAUGGACGCAAGUCUGAACCAGCCAUGCCGCGUGGAGGAUGAAGGUCCUCUGGAUUGUAAACUUCUUUUAUCUGGGAAGAAAUGCCAGAAUUCUUUUUGGUUUGACGGUACCAGAUGAGUAAGCACCGGCUAACUCCGUGCCAGCAGCCGCGGUAAUACGGAGGGUGCAAGCGUUAUCCGGAUUCACUGGGUUUAAAGGGUGCGUAGGUGGGCAGUUAAGUCAGUGGUGAAAUCUCCGGGCUAAACCCGGAAACUGCCAUUGAUACUAUCUGUCUUGAAUACCGUGGAGGUAAGCGGAAUAUGUCAUGUAGCGGUGAAAUGCUUAGAUAUGACAUAGAACACCAAUUGCGAAGGCAGCUUUACUACACGUACUAUUGACACUGAGGCACGAAAGCGUGGGGAUCAAACAGGAUUAGAUACCCUGGUAGUC